RNAcentral lists this ribosomal RNA (486 nucleotides) under uncultured bacterium. Its description in RNAcentral is "partial 16S ribosomal RNA". It matches the Rfam family "Bacterial small subunit ribosomal RNA", at positions 30 to 507 of the family's 1533-position model. The record is from RNAcentral.
AUUGAACGCUGGCGGAAUGCUUUACACAUGCAAGUCGAACGGCAGCACGGGAGCUUGCUCCUGGUGGCGAGUGGCGAACGGGUGAGUAACAUAUCGGAACGUACCCAGUCGUGGGGGAUAACUAUCCGAAAGGGUAGCUAAUACCGCAUACGUCCUGAGGGAGAAAGCGGGGGAUCGCAAGACCUCGCGCGAUUGGAGCGGCCGAUAUCGGAUUAGCUAGUUGGUGGGGUAAAGGCUCACCAAGGCGACGAUCCGUAGCGGGUCUGAGAGGACGACCCGCCACACUGGAACUGAGACACGGUCCAGACUCCUACGGGAGGCAGCAGUGGGGAAUUUUGGACAAUGGGGGCAACCCUGAUCCAGCCAUUCCGCGUGAGUGAAGAAGGCCUUCGGGUUGUAAAGCUCUUUCAGCAGGAACGAAACGGUCGGCUUUAAUAAAAUCGGCUAAUGACGGUACCUGCAGAAGAAGCACCGGCUAACUACGUG